RNAcentral lists this ribosomal RNA (497 nucleotides) under uncultured bacterium. RNAcentral's name for it is "partial 16S ribosomal RNA". It matches the Rfam family "Bacterial small subunit ribosomal RNA", at positions 28 to 507 of the family's 1533-position model. The record is from RNAcentral.
GAUGAACGCUGGCGGCGUGCCUAAUACAUGCAAGUCGAGCGAACAGACGAGGAGCUUGCUCCUCUGACGUUAGCGGCGGACGGGUGAGUAACACGUGGAUAACCUACCUAUAAGACUGGGAUAACUUCGGGAAACCGGAGCUAAUACCGGAUAAUAUAUUGAACCGCAUGGUUCAAUAGUGAAAGACGGUUUUGCUGUCACUUAUAGAUGGAUCCGCGCUGCAUUAGCUAGUUGGUAAGGUAACGGCUUACCAAGGCAACGAUGCGUAGCCGACCUGAGAGGGUGAUCGGCCACACUGGAACUGAGACACGGUCCAGACUCCUACGGGAGGCAGCAGUAGGGAAUCUUCCGCAAUGGGCGAAAGCUUGACGGAGCAACGCCGCGUGAGUGAUGAAGGUCUUCGGAUCGUAAAACUCUGUUAUUAGGGAAGAACAAAUGUGUAAGUAACUAUGCACGUCUUGACGGUACCUAAUCAGAAAGCCACGGCUAACUACGUG